GGCUGCGUAGUUCAACUGGAUAGAAUAUCAGAUUUCGGCUCUGAUGGUUGCAGGUUCGAACCCUGCCGCGGUCACAA
This 77-nucleotide transfer RNA is filed under the name Kaistella antarctica. Its description in RNAcentral is "Chryseobacterium antarcticum tRNA-Arg". It matches the Rfam family "tRNA". Rfam says of the family: Transfer RNA (tRNA) molecules are approximately 80 nucleotides in length. Their secondary structure includes four short double-helical elements and three loops (D, anti-codon, and T loops). The record is from RNAcentral. Lineage: Bacteria; Pseudomonadati; Bacteroidota; Flavobacteriia; Flavobacteriales; Weeksellaceae.